Small nucleolar RNA from Otolemur garnettii (small-eared galago), 132 nucleotides. The record is from Ensembl. Lineage: Eukaryota; Metazoa; Chordata; Mammalia; Primates; Galagidae.
UGUCCCAGACCUGGGUGGAGUGGCACUGGUUGGCGUGUCCCCCUCAUAUCGGCCAGAUACAAGCACCCCCUUGUUUAUCCCAGCUUGGCAUUUGAUCUGUCCUUACACCUGGUUCAUGCCUGGGGUACCUGG